UGAGUACACCUUCUAGUCAAAACAAUCACUACCCUCCUGUUACUUUUAGAGAUCACAGUCGUCAACACCUAAACAUAUUCCAAAACAACAGACAGGAGGGGAGGGAAAUCACUUUCUUCAGGAUUUACUGUUCUCUUUUAAGCCUGGUGAGAGAGAGGGGCUGUCAGGCCUUUACUAUUCAUCUGUUGCCUCCAGAGCCUCCCCCUCCCUCCUGUACAAGGAUGCUUACUGUUCCCAUGGCGACAGUGGACCACGCUCCCAGAAGCCAGGCCGGGGAGGAGGAAGCCGAGAGCCACAGACAUAAGCAGCCCCAACACACCUGACAGCCUGGAAAGGUAAGGGGGUGGGCGGGGCGAAAGGGCGUGACGGCCUGGUUCGGGAAACCCCACGGAGAGGGGAAACUCGUGUUUUUCAAGAAAUGGGAGGGGAUAAGAGGAAGGGGAGGUCACCUUGUCCACGCUCAGCUCGAGCCCGGAGGGGGCGUAUUUGAAAGGCACGUUACAGGAGAGCAGGUUCUCUGGGUGCAAGGAAAAACGAUAACGACUGCCACUCCUAUAGAGAGGCUUAGGGAAGGUUUCAUACACCUUAUCGAAUUUAAUCCUCACGACAUCCCAGAGGAAGGGGAUUUUACACAGGAUAAAAGUGAGGUUCAGAAAAGGGGCGGUGACUUGCCCAAGGUCAUACAUACUGUGCCAGAGCACAUCACGAUUCGAACCUCGGUCUAAGCCGUGCGGGUCCACGGCGCGUGGGGGUACAGGGAGUAGAGGGGUGGGGGUGCAAUCUGGGAUAGACCUCCCCCGCAAACCCGGGCUCUCCGGUCUGCGGCCCCGCCCCGAUCCGCCCUUGACCUUGGGCGCUGAGUUAUAGUUACCUUCCCGGAGAGAACACAGGACGAGGAGGCGGCGGCGCGGGCUCCUCCAAGCUCCUCCAGGCUCCCCCCGGUGCGGACCCGCGGAGGCUGCAGCCCCGGAGCCGGUGCCCCGCCGCCGCCGCCGCCGCCGCUCACCUGGCAGCCACAGGCGGCUCCCGCCCGGCCCAGGUUCACACUCAAGCUCGAGCACAGCCCUCGGGCGGCGGCGGCGGCUUCCGACGUUUGCCCGGGACUUUGCCGCCGCCGCCUCCUCCUCCUCCUCCAGCCCGGCCCCAGCCGGCGCCCCCGCCCCCGCUGUCUCCUCCGCGUCCCUCGGAGCUUCCGGGUGCCCCGCCCCCUGACGUCGGGAAUCCCCCCCCUUUCCCCGCCUUGCGGAAGCCCACGUGCGAGGUUUCCCCAGACCCCGAGCCGGAGCAGGCUGCAGACCCCUCCCCGUCCAGCGGACGCCAAAGGAGCUUUCCACGUCUAGCCUCCGCUGGAGCCUCCUAACAGGACUUUGAAAACUGGCUGUGGUGGGACAGAAGAGGACUGGAAGAGUAAAGGGAGGUUGUUAACCCAUUUAUUCUUUGCCUUCCCUUGUCAUGCAGUCCUCUCCCAGGGCUAGACCAGAAUUGCGAGUGGGGAAUAGAUCCCAGGCUGCAGAAGAGGAUUAUGAACCCCACCCUACAUCCAUUUGAAUUGAAUCUUUCUUGAAGAAGAUGCCUUAAGUUUGGUUUAAUUAUGCAAAAAAUUUUUCAAAAGAAAAAAAGAAAAAAAGCAGCAGCCAAAUUCAGUAAAUGAAAAAUGGAUCACAGUCCUAAAGAACUGAGAAUUCAAACAGGAAGAACUUUAUAAUCACUGCCAGAUGCAGUGACCAUAUUGGGUAUUCUUGUUUCACUGGUUAUCUUUGCUACACAGUAGGAUUCAAUUUGUGGGAGUUUUUCCCCCCAAAAAUGACUAUGAUAUACUAACAAAAUGUCUUUUAAAAACUUCCACGUGAUACUGAGUGAAUACUGAUGAAUAAGAACUUUGAAAAUUGACCAUUAGUGUCAUACAGAUGUAUGUUUUGGGGAUUUUUGGGGCAGCUUUUAUGGAUUUUUUUUUUUACACAGGAGGCAAAAAAAUAAAGCACAAGAGAUAAAAUACA
This 1997-nucleotide long non-coding RNA is filed under the name Phascolarctos cinereus (koala). Its description in RNAcentral is "lncRNA (ENSPCIG00000034943.1)". Lineage: Eukaryota; Metazoa; Chordata; Mammalia; Diprotodontia; Phascolarctidae. The record is from RNAcentral.